AUCUGGUUGAUCCUGCCAGAGGCUACCGCUAUUGGAGUUCGAUUAAGCUAUGCGAGUCUAGAGGCCUAGCCUCGGCGUACCGCUCAGUUACACGUGGGUAACCUACCCUAUGCAGGGGGAUAAGCUCGGGAAACUGAGAAUAAUACCCCAUAGUCCACUACGCCUGGAACGGUGAGUGGAUCAAAGCUCCGGCGGCAUAGGAUGGGCCUGCGGCGUAUCAGGUUGUAGGGGGUGUAAUGUACCCUCUAGCCAUCUACGCGUACGGGUGUUGGGAGACAUAGCCCGGAGAUGGAUUCUGAGACACGAAUCCAGACCCUACGGGGUGCAGCAGGCGCGAAAACUUGGCAAUGCGAGAAAUCGUGACCAGGGAACUCCAAGUGGCAGGGGUAAGACCCUGUCUUUUUCCGACUCUAAAUAGGUCGGCGAAUAAGGGGUGGGUAAGGACGGUGCCAGCCGCCGCGGUAAUACCGGCGCCUCAAGUGGUAGUCGCUUUUAUUGGGCCUAAAACGUCCGUAGCCGGUCUGGUACAUUCGUGGGUAAA
This 541-nucleotide ribosomal RNA is filed under the name uncultured Candidatus Poseidoniales archaeon. RNAcentral describes it as "bacterial SSU rRNA". It matches the Rfam family "Archaeal small subunit ribosomal RNA", at positions 1 to 549 of the family's 1478-position model. The record is from RNAcentral. Lineage: Archaea; Methanobacteriati; Thermoplasmatota; Candidatus Poseidoniia; Candidatus Poseidoniales.